Molecule: long non-coding RNA, 1080 nt
Filed under: Fukomys damarensis (Damara mole-rat)
Lineage: Eukaryota; Metazoa; Chordata; Mammalia; Rodentia; Bathyergidae
Description: lncRNA (ENSFDAG00000029146.1)
Source: RNAcentral
GGGCCCUCCCUGUGCUGCCCAGCCAGGCCCCGGCGAGCUGUUUAUGUGGGAUCCAAGGCUGGCAGAGGACAGCAGGCCCAGCCCGAGUGUUUUCCUCGCUGCCGCUGCCGAGAAGAUGAGUGAGAGGAGCAGAAUAACAAAAAGCCACUUCAAAACACCAGCCCAAGACAAAGCAGAGGAGAACAGAGGUUUCGGGCACACACUCACACGGGCACACACUCACACACACGCCCCCAGAACCCCGCCGCGCUGCUGCUGCUGCUGCUGCUGCUGCUUCGGGAGAACAAAAACAAGUCACGAGGGAGCCUCCAGCCGUCAGCCUCCGGUGAGCCCUCUCUACCAUCAGCGCUGGCAGAGACGAAGAGGAGGAAGCUGGAGCUGUGGACUUUGGCUCCUAGAAACCCCGUGGGGAAGAGGGUGGGCAGAAGUUACUCCGUAAGACGAUGAAUGACCCAAGAGUAAGUGAGGGAGGAGGCUAGAAGGAAGGGAAGUUUGGAGCGCGGGGAGGCUCUGGGGCUGGGCCAUCAAGGAGCUCUCUUUGAGGGAUGGGUAGUGUCUUAGUCUGCUUAAACAGCCAUAACUGUGACUUAAAUGUCAGAAAUGUAUUUCCUCCUGAUUCUGGGGGCAGAAGUCCAGGCUUGAGGUGCAGGCAGCAUGGGUUAUUCCGAAGGCCUUUUUCCUUGGCUUGCUCAUUGAGGUUGCCUCAUGUGGUUGGUGUUGUCUGGGUCCCAAUCCCCUCUUCUUAGGAAGACACCGGUCAUAGUGCAUUGGAGUCACCCAGAGGACCUCAUUUUACCUUAAUGAGUCUCACAUUAUGAGGGUUAGGACAUCAUAUGAGUGAGAGGGUCACAAUUCAGCCUACAACAGGUGGGAAGUCUUCGCAUUUUCUCAGUGACAAAAACGUUUAUUGUGACCCCCCAAAAUCACAAAAAUGGUAAAUAAAAACUUCUUUGAGAUGACCUUAAAUGUCCAGCCUUUCAAAAAAAAAAAAUGUAAGUAUUCUGAGAGGCCUGAGGCAGGAGGGUUGCAAGUUGGAGCUUUGCUUGGGCAACUUGACAACUUAGUGAGACCCUGCCCCCA